This 405-nucleotide ribosomal RNA is filed under the name uncultured bacterium. RNAcentral's name for it is "bacterial SSU rRNA". It matches the Rfam family "Bacterial small subunit ribosomal RNA", at positions 354 to 776 of the family's 1533-position model. The record is from RNAcentral.
GUGGGGAAUAUUGGACAAUGGGCGAAAGCCUGAUCCAGCCAUGCCGCGUGAGUGACGAAGGUCUUCGGAUUGUAAAGCUCUUUUGGCGGGGACGAUAAUGACGGUACCCGCAGAAUAAGCCCCGGCUAACUUCGUGCCAGCAGCCGCGGUAAUACGAAGGGGGCUAGCGUUGUUCGGAAUUACUGGGCGUAAAGCGCACGUAGGCGGACUUAUAAGUCAGGGGUGAAAUCCCGGGGCUCAACCUCGGAACUGCCUUUGAUACUGUAAGUCUCGAGACCGGAAGAGGUGAGUGGAAUUCCUAGUGUAGAGGUGAAAUUCGUAGAUAUUAGGAAGAACACCAGUGGCGAAGGCGGCUCACUGGUCCGGUUCUGACGCUGAGGUGCGAAAGCGUGGGGAGCAAACAGG